RNAcentral lists this ribosomal RNA (328 nucleotides) under uncultured eukaryote. RNAcentral describes it as "partial 18S ribosomal RNA". It matches the Rfam family "Eukaryotic small subunit ribosomal RNA", at positions 1470 to 1796 of the family's 1831-position model. The record is from RNAcentral.
CCCUUAGAUGUCCUGGGCCGCACGCGCGUUACACUGAUGCAUUCAACGAGCUUAUAACCUUGGCCGAGAGGCCUGGGCAAUCUUGUUAACGUGCAUCUUGAUAGGGAUAGAUUAUUGAAAUUAUUAAUCUUGAACGAGGAAUUCCUAGUAAACGCAGAUCAUCAAUCUGCAUUGAUUACGUCCCUGCCCUUUGUACACACCGCCCGUCGCACCUACCGAUUGGAUGGUCCGGUGAAGCCUCGGGAUUGUGGUUCUUGCCGCUUUAUUGUGGCGUGACCGCGAGAACUUGUCUAAACCUUAUCAUCUAGAGGAAGGUGAAGUCGUAACA